RNAcentral lists this ribosomal RNA (468 nucleotides) under uncultured bacterium. RNAcentral describes it as "partial 16S ribosomal RNA". It matches the Rfam family "Bacterial small subunit ribosomal RNA", at positions 28 to 507 of the family's 1533-position model. The record is from RNAcentral.
GACGAACGCUGGCGGCGUGCUUAACACAUGCAAGUCGAACGGAAAGGCCCUGCUUUUGUGGGGUGCUCGAGUGGCGAACGGGUGAGUAACACGUGAGUAACCUGCACUUGACUUUGGGAUAACUUCAGGGAACUGGGGCUAAUACCGGAUAGGAGCUCCUGCUGCAUGGUGGGGGUUGGAAAGUUUCGGCGGUUGGGGAUGGACUCGCGGCUUAUCAGCUUGUUGGUGGGGUAGUGGCUUACCAAGGCUUUGACAGGUAGCCGGCCUGAGAGGGUGACCGGCCACAUUGGGACUGAGAUACGGCCCAGACUCCUACGGGAGGCAGCAGUGGGGAAUAUUGCACAAUGGGCGGAAGCCUGAUGCAGCAACGCCGCGUGCGGGAUGACGGCCUUCGGGUUGUAAACCGCUUUCGCCUGUGACGAAGCGUGAGUGACGGUAAUGGGUAAAGAAGCACCGGCUAACUACGUG